CAGUAGCCGCGGUAAUACGUAGGUGGCAAGCGUUGUCCGGAAUUAUUGGGCGUAAAGGGCUCGCAGGCGGUUUCUUAAGUCUGAUGUGAAAGCCCCCGGCUCAACCGGGGAGGGUCAUUGGAAACUGGGAAACUUGAGUGCAGAAGAGGAGAGUGGAAUUCCACGUGUAGCGGUGAAAUGCGUAGAGAUGUGGAGGAACACCAGUGGCGAAGGCGACUCUCUGGUCUGUAACUGACGCUGAGGAGCGAAAGCGUGGGGAGCGAACAGGAUUAGAGACCCCUGUAGUCCCUGUCUCUUAUAC
This 301-nucleotide ribosomal RNA is filed under the name uncultured bacterium. Its description in RNAcentral is "partial 16S ribosomal RNA". It matches the Rfam family "Bacterial small subunit ribosomal RNA", at positions 509 to 807 of the family's 1533-position model. The record is from RNAcentral.